UUGACCAAUUCGACCUCAA
RNAcentral lists this ribosomal RNA (19 nucleotides) under Sarcodon squamosus. Its description in RNAcentral is "partial 28S ribosomal RNA". The record is from RNAcentral. RNAcentral also lists the same sequence under 1 other name. Lineage: Eukaryota; Fungi; Basidiomycota; Agaricomycetes; Thelephorales; Thelephoraceae.